Molecule: ribosomal RNA, 497 nt
Filed under: uncultured bacterium
Lineage: Bacteria
Description: partial 16S ribosomal RNA
Rfam family: Bacterial small subunit ribosomal RNA
Source: RNAcentral
GACGAACGCUGGCGGCGUGCCUAAUACAUGCAAGUAGAACGCUGAAGAGAGGAGCUUGCUCUUCUUGGAUGAGUUGCGAACGGGUGAGUAACGCGUAGGUAACCUGCCUUGUAGCGGGGGAUAACUAUUGGAAACGAUAGCUAAUACCGCAUAACAAUGGGUGACACAUGUCAUUUAUUUGAAAGGGGCAAUUGCUCCACUACAAGAUGGACCUGCGUUGUAUUAGCUAGUAGGUGAGGUAAUGGCUCACCUAGGCGACGAUACAUAGCCGACCUGAGAGGGUGAUCGGCCACACUGGGACUGAGACACGGCCCAGACUCCUACGGGAGGCAGCAGUAGGGAAUCUUCGGCAAUGGGGGCAACCCUGACCGAGCAACGCCGCGUGAGUGAAGAAGGUUGUCGGAUCGUAAAGAUCUGUUGUAAGUCAAGAACGGGUGUGAGAGUGGAAAGUUCACACUGUGACGGUAGCUUACCAGAAAGGGACGGCUAACUACGUG